AAAAAUUAUCAUCUGAACACAUAAUUCCAAAAAGAAAACAAACUGGGUGAGAAUCUUUAUAUUAUUUUUUUUUCAUUUCUUUCGUAGUAGUAGACUUAAGUACUUAAAUUUCGAUAAAUUCACUACAAUGCCAGUGGCGCAGGGGUACGCUGAUCUAUCCCAAGGCGCUUAGAUUGAGAGUUCGAAUCUCACUGCCGGAGUUGGAAAAAUAAUUUCCUAUAUUAAAUGUAACUUAACUUAACUUUACUUUACUUUCAAUUUCAAAAAGGAAACCUACGAUUUUUUUUUAAAAGAAUGUGUGUGCAAAAUUGCCCCCCCCCCCUUUACCCCCUUUGCUCCAUCGGGCUCGGUCAAGGGUGUCCCAGAUCGAGCUAACAUUGGUAAUUCAAUG
Molecule: long non-coding RNA, 391 nt
Filed under: Mytilus galloprovincialis (Mediterranean mussel)
Lineage: Eukaryota; Metazoa; Mollusca; Bivalvia; Mytilida; Mytilidae
Source: RNAcentral